RNAcentral lists this ribosomal RNA (254 nucleotides) under uncultured bacterium. RNAcentral describes it as "partial 16S ribosomal RNA". It matches the Rfam family "Bacterial small subunit ribosomal RNA", at positions 524 to 776 of the family's 1533-position model. The record is from RNAcentral.
UACGAAGGGAGCUAGCGUUGUUCGGAAUCACUGGGCUUAAAGCGCGUGUAGGCGGGCAUGUACGUCCGUCGCUGAAAUCCCCCGGCUCAACCGGGGAAGUGGCGCGGAUACGGCAUUCCUUGAGGGGCGUAGGGGGACCUGGAACUUCCGGUGGAGCGGUGAAAUGCGUUGAGAUCGGAAGGAACGCCCGUGGCGAAAGCGAGGUCCUGGACGCCUACUGACGCUGAGACGCGAAAGCCAGGGGAGCGAACGGG